UGGGGAGAGAAGAUGCGUCAAGCCAACAAGAUUCAAGACGGCGUGCUCAAACCGGUCGGUUUAGGUUUCCUCCGGUUCGAGUUCUUCAACGAUGGGUUAGCCGACGAUGACGAAAAAAGAACCAACUUCCAAGCCUUCCGACCACACCUUGAACUUGUCGGAAAACGGGAGAUCAAGAACCUCAUCAGGAGAUACGAGCAAGAGGAAAAGCAACCUGUGAGGUGUCUUAUAAACAACGCUUUUGUGCCGUGGGUGUGUGACGUGGCUGAUGAGCUUCAUAUCCCUUCGGCUGUUCUAUGGGUCCAGUCUUGCGCUUGUCUCACCGCUUAUUAUUAUUACCACCACCGGCUAGUUAAGUUCCCGACCAAAACUGAGCCGGAGAUUAACGUUGAAAUCCCAAGCUUACCUUUGUUGAAGCAUGGCGAGAUCCCAAGCUUCCUUCACCCUUCAUCUCCCUUUGCAGCUUAUGGAGAAGUCAUUUUAGACCAGCUCAAGCGACUUGUAAGCCACAAGCCUCUCUUUGUUUUCAUAGACACUUUUCAAGAACUCGAAAAAGAGAUCGUCGACCACAUGUCUAACCUCUGUCCUCAAGUCAAGUUUAGCCCUCUCGGUCCUCUCUUCAAGAUGGCUCAAACUAUAAGCUCUGACGUUAAGGGAGACAUCUCCGCGCCAGCGAGUGACUGCAUGGAGUGGCUCGACUCGAGAGAACCAUCCUCAGUCGUUUAUAUCUCCUUUGGCACUAUAGUCCACUUGAAGCAAGAGCAGUUCGAGGAGAUCGCUCAUGGUGUUUUGAGCUCUGGUUUGUCCUUCUUAUGGGUGGUCCGGCCUCCUAUGGAAGGUUCAAGUGUGAAACCAUAUGUAUUGCCUCGUGAGCUUGAAGAGAAAGGGAAAAUCGUUGAAUGGUGUUCACAAGAGAGAGUGUUGGCUCAUCCUGCGGUUGCUUGCUUCUUAAGUCACUGCGGAUGGAACUCGACAAUGGAGGCUUUGUCUUCGGGAGUUCCCAUGGUCUGUUUUCCGAUGUGGGGAGAUCAGGUGACUGAUGCUGUGUACUUGGUUGAUGUUUUCAAGACAGGAGUGAGACUUGGCCGCGGAGCGGCUGAGGAGAAGAUUGUUCCGAGGGAGGUUGUGUCGGAGAAGUUGCUUGAGGCCACCGUUGGGAAAAAGGCGGUGGAGAUUAGAGAAAGCGCACGGAGGUGGAAGGAAGAAGCGGAGGCAGCCGUGGCGUUCGGUGGAUCAUCGGAUAGGAAGUUUCAAGAGUUUGUGGACGAGUUGAUUACGAAAUCUGUUGCGAGAAAAGACAACGGAGAAUACUCAUGAUGAUGUCACGUAAUAGUCCAAAUUGUUGAUGUAACUCCGAAACCUAGACACCACUACGGUAUGUCAGUAUUCAUAUUAUCUUUUUUCUUUUUCCUUUUGGGUAAAUAACACAUCAAAUCCCAUCUCAUGCUCUAGUGAUGUCGAUCUAUCAAUUUUUACAUUCUAUUUCAUCACUUCGAGCCACAAGCACUUAGAUUUUUAAAACCAUUUUGAUGCAUUAAACUAAUGUCGCCAUAUGGCUUUAAGGUCAUUUAGUAUUGGGCAAUUAUCAAUAAUAGUACAUUUUGAGUUUUUGUCUCAAAAUAGCAUUAGAAGGAGAAAGUCACAAAAAUGACAUUCAUUUAAAGAGUAAAAUAUCUCUAAUACCAUUAGUUUAGAAUUAAAUAAACAAAAAAAAAUAAAAUAAAAAAUAAAAUAAAAAAAAUGGAAAAAAAUAAAACUUUUUUGUAUAGUUUCAGAUUAUAUGUUUUCAGAUUCGAAAUUUUUUAUAAUUUUUUUUGAAAUUAUUUUUUUCGAAUUUUAUUUUUAUUUUUUUUUCAAAUUUUCUUUUUAUAAUUCAAAAAUAAUUUUUGAAACUGUUUUUAAAAUUUAUAUUUUUAAUUUUUUAGUAUUUAUUUUUUAUUUUAUAAAAUUUUAAACCCUAAUUCCAAAACCCACUCCUUAACUCUAAACCCUAAGGUUUGGAUUAAUUAACCCAAAGGGUAUAAGUGUAUAUUUAUUUACCUCUUUAAUGAAAUAUAUUUUUGUGACUUUGAGCUUUGAUUGCUAGUUUAGGAACAAAAACUUGGUUUGAUGCUAUCCUAGUAUUUUUCUCUAUAAAAUAACUUCUUAUUCAUUAAUCUUUGUUUUUUUACUAAUCAAAAAUUAUGUCAUAAAAAAACUUUUGGAAACUUAUAAUAAAAUUUAUAGAAUCAACACAAUCUCAAUAAUCUUCUAAGAUUAUACAAUAUCAAGACUUUGAUAUUCAAACUAUUUAAAAUAAAAAGAUUAUUGCCAGCUUGUCUCAGACGGAGACGUAUGCAAAGCUUCUAUUUAAUCCGAAAAUUGAGAUAGAUGGAGAGACGAACAUAAGAAUAUAUAUAGCAGAAAAGAUUAGAUAGGAAUUAUCGAAAUUGAAGGUUUUAAAGAACAAGGAUAGGUUUCAACUUGUCUGACAAUAAACUUUACGUGUAACUAUAGUUAAUCCGAAAAUUGAAAAAAGAAAACAAAAAAGACCGAUAAAUUACUAUAGGGUUAAAAUCGUCCAAUAAAUAUCGAUAAUAACGGAGAAGUAAGUCGAUGGGUAUUGAGCUAAAUAGGGUAAAGUGCUAAUGUGUGGAGUGCAAUUUCUCAAAAUAAAAUCAGUUUCUACUUUCUAGUUUCCAUAAGGAAAAUAAAAAUCGAUGGAACCGUCUCUUGAGCAUGUGAUGCUCGUAUCUUUCCCAGGCCAAGGGCACAUAAACCCUCUACUUCGUCUCGGAAAGCUCAUAGCUUCGAAAGGCCUACUGGUCACCUUUGUCACCACAGAGCAGCCAUGGGGAGAGAAGAUGCGUCAAGCCAACAAGAUUCAAGACGGCGUGCUCAAACCGGUCGGUUUAGGUUUCCUCCGGUUCGAGUUCUUCAACGAUGGGUUAGCCGACGAUGACGAAAAAAGAACCAACUUCCAAGCCUUCCGACCACACCUUGAACUUGUCGGAAAACGGGAGAUCAAGAACCUCAUCAGGAGAUACGAGCAAGAGGAAAAGCAACCUGUGAGGUGUCUUAUAAACAACGCUUUUGUGCCGUGGGUGUGUGACGUGGCUGAUGAGCUUCAUAUCCCUUCGGCUGUUCUAUGGGUCCAGUCUUGCGCUUGUCUCACCGCUUAUUAUUAUUACCACCACCGGCUAGUUAAGUUCCCG
This 3194-nucleotide long non-coding RNA is filed under the name Brassica napus (rape). RNAcentral's name for it is "long non-coding RNA (BNAP_LNC000396)". The record is from RNAcentral. Lineage: Eukaryota; Viridiplantae; Streptophyta; Magnoliopsida; Brassicales; Brassicaceae.